This 667-nucleotide ribosomal RNA is filed under the name Ellipsomyxa apogoni. Its description in RNAcentral is "SSU rRNA". It matches the Rfam family "Eukaryotic small subunit ribosomal RNA", at positions 326 to 1004 of the family's 1831-position model. Lineage: Eukaryota; Metazoa; Cnidaria; Myxozoa; Bivalvulida; Ceratomyxidae. The record is from RNAcentral.
UGGUAAGGUAGUGGCUUACCAAGGUUGUGACGGGUAACGGGGAAUCAGGGUUCGAUUCCGGAGAGGGAGCCUGAGAAACGGCUACCACAUCUAAGGAAGGCAGCAGGCGCGCAAAUUACCCAAUCCAGACAUUGGGAGGUAGUGACGAGAAAUACCAAAGUGUGCCCAUUCGGGUACAUUAUUGGAAUGAACGUAACAUAGUACCUUCGAUGAGUACCUACUGGAGGGCAAGUCUGGUGCCAGCAGCCGCGGUAAUUCCAGCUCCAGUAGUGUAUAUCAAAAUUGUUGCGGUUAAAACGCUCGUAGUUGGAUUACAAAAGUCAGGCGUUGGUCGAGCAAUUGCUUGGUCAAUGCAGGGCUUUUUUAUCGCAAGAACCACUCGUGCAUUUAACCGUGUGCGGGUGAUCACUUGCGGAGCGUGCCUUGAAUAAAGCACAGUGCUCAAAGCAAGCGUAACGCUCGAAUGUUUAAGCAUGGAACGAAUAAUUCUGACUACAGGUUCAGUUGUUGGUUAUCUGAGCCGGGUCCUGAUUAAAAGGGACAUUUGAGGGCGUUAGUACUUGGCGGCGAGAGGUGAAAUUCUUAGACCCGUCAAAGACUCACUGAUGCGAAAGCAUUCGCCAAGAAUGUUUUCAUUGAUCAAGAACGAAAGUUAGAGGUUCGAAGA